AGAGUGAACGCUGGCGGUAGGCCUAACACAUGCAAGUCGAACGGCAGCACGGUACGAGCUUGCUCUUAUGGGUGGCGAGUGGCGGACGGGUGAGGAAUACAUCGGAAUCUACCUUUUGGUGGGGGAUAACGUAGGGAAACUUACGCUAAUACCGCAUACGCCCUUCGGGGAAAGCCGGGGACCAGCAAUGGCCUGGCGCUGAUAGAUGAGCCGAUGUCGGAUUAGCUAGUUGGUGAGGUAAUGGCUCACCAAGGCGACGAUCCGUAGCUGGUCU
Molecule: ribosomal RNA, 274 nt
Filed under: uncultured soil bacterium
Lineage: Bacteria
Description: partial 16S ribosomal RNA
Rfam family: Bacterial small subunit ribosomal RNA
Source: RNAcentral